UUGUCGGAGUGCCCUGAGGGCUGAGAUUGCACUAGCAGAAUCCGCUUACCUGAUCAGGUUAAUACCUGCGUAGGGAACAAGAGUU
Molecule: non-coding RNA, 85 nt
Filed under: chicken gut metagenome
Description: TPP riboswitch (THI element)
Rfam family: TPP riboswitch aptamer (THI element)
About the family: Vitamin B(1) in its active form thiamin pyrophosphate (TPP) is an essential coenzyme that is synthesised by coupling of pyrimidine and thiazole moieties in bacteria. The previously detected thiamin-regulatory element, thi box was extended, resulting in a new, highly conserved RNA secondary structure, the THI element, which is widely distributed in eubacteria and also occurs in some archaea.
Source: RNAcentral